AACGAACGCUGGCGGCAUGCCUAACACAUGCAAGUCGAACGAGACCUUCGGGUCUAGUGGCGCACGGGUGCGUAACGCGUGGGAACCUGCCCUUAGGUUCGGAAUAACUCCCCGAAAGGGGUGCUAAUACCGGAUAAUGUCUUCGGACCAAAGAUUUAUCGCCUGUGGAUGGGCCCGCGUUGGAUUAGCUAGUUGGUAGGGUAAAAGCCUACCAAGGCGACGAUCCAUAGCUGGUCUGAGAGGAAGAUCAGCCACACUGGGACUGAGACACGGCCCAGACUCCUACGGGAGGCAGCAGUGGGGAAUAUUGGACAAUGGGCGAAAGCCUGAUCCAGCAAUGCCGCGUGAGUGAUGAAGGCCUUAGGGUUGUAAAGCUCUUUUACCCGGGAUGAUAAUGACAGUACCGGGAGAAUAAGCUCCGGCUAACUCCGUG
Molecule: ribosomal RNA, 433 nt
Filed under: uncultured bacterium
Lineage: Bacteria
Description: partial 16S ribosomal RNA
Rfam family: Bacterial small subunit ribosomal RNA
Source: RNAcentral